UGACGACUAAAUUGCGAAAAAGAUAAGCGUGAGGGCGGCGGAGUUGCUGCCGACGGUGGAGUUGCUACCGACGGCGAAGUUGCUGCCGACGGCGGAGUUGCUACCGUUCAGUCUUCGUCGUCGAUGUGUGAUCCCAUCAUUGAAUGGAGCAACGUUGGGGAUAAAGUAUUUCUGCAGUUGUACCAUAUGAUGAGAGUGGAUAGAAUUAUGCAGGGGAAUAAGAACACCCACAAGAUCACGUUGUAUAAAAAAAAUUAUGGCUUGUAUUUAAACCUUAUACAGUUCGUUACGUUCGUGUGUCUUUACUACGUAAUCUCAACAUGAUCUAGGACAAGGCAUGACUAAAAGACUUAUGAAAAAAACUUUCGUUUUGGCG
This is a long non-coding RNA of Capsella rubella, 376 nucleotides long. RefSeq lists it as uncharacterized. The record is from RefSeq and is a predicted model, not a curated record. NCBI's taxonomy places the organism in Eukaryota, Viridiplantae, Streptophyta, Magnoliopsida, Brassicales, Brassicaceae. The transcript has 2 exons.